AAACCAAGCUUUGUCUGGUUUAAGUCAAGUCACCUUUAUUUAUAUAGCAUUUACCAGUAGAGAUUGUUUCAAGCAGCUUUA
This is a long non-coding RNA of Sinocyclocheilus anshuiensis, 81 nucleotides long. RefSeq lists it as uncharacterized. The record is from RefSeq and is a predicted model, not a curated record. The transcript is spliced from 4 exons. NCBI's taxonomy places the organism in Eukaryota, Metazoa, Chordata, Actinopteri, Cypriniformes, Cyprinidae.